AAACUAAACUCUAAAUAUAAAUAUAAAUUAAUUAAAGUUAUAAUUCUUCUCCAACUCAAUCCAUUAUCUCCGAAUCAAGUUUAUGAUCCUCACUCUCAUCGCCAAACCCUAACCCAUAGUUUCUCUUACAUUGAUUUUCCAAAGCCGAUCGUCCAUCGCACUAAUCUAAUCAAACCGCGCUGCGCCGUCCGAUACAAUCUACACCAGCGCUGUGCUUUUCCGCCGCCGCUCUUAGUCUUUUUCCGGUUGCCGCCUCCCCUCUUCGAAGGCCGUUUGAGGUUGGAUCUAGGCAAUACAUCGUCUUCCCUGGACGUUUUAUCUACACACAGAGGCUUAAAGGCGCAAGUGUAAACGACAAGGAUUUUGAAAUUUAUAUACUAAUUAUGAGCAUGGAAGUUACAUUGCACAAAACAAGCUCAUCUUCAGGUAUAUAUAUAUAUAUAUAU
Molecule: long non-coding RNA, 446 nt
Organism: Salvia miltiorrhiza (redroot sage)
Lineage: Eukaryota; Viridiplantae; Streptophyta; Magnoliopsida; Lamiales; Lamiaceae
Exons: 3
Source: RefSeq, a predicted model, not a curated record